This 152-nucleotide small nucleolar RNA is filed under the name Cephalotus follicularis. RNAcentral describes it as "small nucleolar RNA snoR135". It matches the Rfam family "small nucleolar RNA snoR135". Lineage: Eukaryota; Viridiplantae; Streptophyta; Magnoliopsida; Oxalidales; Cephalotaceae. The record is from Rfam by way of RNAcentral.
UGUGCAGGGAUUGUGUGUAUCGGCUCAGUGCUAUAUAAUCAAUGCACUCUGAAUCCGAAAGAGUUCCCUGCAAAAUCAGAUUCAGGGGAAGGUGGGCAGUUGAGCUUCAAUCUUAACCGUUGAAAUCCUCAACAAUCAUCUUCCCUACAUCU